Molecule: non-coding RNA, 1302 nt
Organism: Oryza sativa Japonica Group (Japanese rice)
Lineage: Eukaryota; Viridiplantae; Streptophyta; Magnoliopsida; Poales; Poaceae
Source: RefSeq, a predicted model, not a curated record
GUCUGAAGCUAUUGUAGGUUCCCUUGUGUUCUCAGGGAAAAUACGUGUACUCCGUAAGAGCAGAAAAUUCAGGCUUGCUUAGCCACCCAAGACGCUGCCCCCUGCCUACUCCAUCUCCAAGGAAGCGCCUGGGCCACUGGUCUGGUUGGCUAGCGAGGUGUAUUUCAAGCAUCUACUUGUGACGUUAACAACUUUCAAACCUGUGCUGGUUGUGGCAGUCAGGGAAUUCCUGCAUCAUACAGCGAAUGUGCCUUUAUGGCUGCUACACUAGCUAGCUACACUUCCAACUUAUAGUUUUAAAAUUCGUUAAAAAUUAAAUUGUGCCAAAGUAGUGUGAUAUUACUUGGAUUGAUGCCAUUUAUCAUGGAUAGAAAUCAAAUAUAUCAUGUUCCAGUUCAUGAAACUUUUGCAGGAUGGAGAGCACAGAGGAGUGACAUGAUUCCCAUCCUCAUUCUUUGGAGAGUUUGAUAGGAUAAAACUUUGUACUUUAAUUAGCUGGAAUCUGGCCAUACCCUUGAAGAGGACAAGGGAGCUACACACAAAAAAAAUGUAUUGGCAAGAGAUGCUUUGCACUGGACAAAGCAUUGAUCUUCUGUUUUCUUAAGCUUGUUGUGAAGGAAACACUAUCUGGAUAUUGAAUUUGAUUGGAGAUCAAAUGAAGGCAGUGAUCAUGAUCCAACACUUUGACUGUCAAGGACAAUGUGUUGCCAUGUGUGCAAAUCAGGAGUUCCGUCAUGAUUCAUGAGGUGCAGGGAAUAACUCAGAGCCAUGGCUUUCUUUACUAACCUAGCUGUGGUAUAGAUCCAGUUAGCUUUAUACUCACAUAUUGCUGUCUUCCAUAAACCUUUCCAUUUGCCAGCCAAUUUUUUUUUCCAGAAACAGGAUGUGGCUUUUUUUUACAGUAUUUCUGUUGAAGUCAGAUUUCAUAAAUCAAUUUAAACCAGCAUUACGAUGGGUCACCCUCGGAUGGCUGGGAAGUUAGCUAGAAGCCGAGAUUGAGCAGUAUUUUUUGGCAGUAACUGCUAGGAUGAUGGACAUGUGCAGUGUGAAAUCCCUUCCAGUGCCCAACUGCUAGGAUGAUGGACAUGCUCAUGGGUUAAGACAACGACGUCGAGCACUAUUCCGAUAACAAUUGACUGGAGUACUAUUAUGAGACAAUGUCCUAAGAGUAACUGAGAUAUAAACCUCUAUGGUUUGCAUACCAUAUAAACUUCUACUGGUCACACUAUAGAAGAUAUGCACUUGCUGUUGAUUAUGUAAAUGUUAUAUACUGAAGUACUAUUUUGAGCACUUGCUAUUGAU